This 408-nucleotide ribosomal RNA is filed under the name uncultured bacterium. Its description in RNAcentral is "partial 16S ribosomal RNA". It matches the Rfam family "Bacterial small subunit ribosomal RNA", at positions 28 to 526 of the family's 1533-position model. The record is from RNAcentral.
GGCGAACGCUGGCGGCGUGCUUAACACAUGCAAGUCGAACGAAGUGGCGAACGGGUGAGUAACGCGUAAUCAACCUGCCCUUCAGAGGGGGACAACAGUUGGAAACGACUGCUAAUACCGCAUACUGAAGGAGGGGAUUGCGUCGGAUUAGCUAGGUGGAGGGGUAACGGCCCACCAGGGCGAUGAUCAGUAGCCGGUCUGAGAGGAUGAACGGCCACAUUGAGACUGAGACACGGCCCAGACUCGUACGGGAUGCAGCAGUGGGGAAUCUGCCGCAAGGGACGAAAGUCUGACGGAGCAACGCCGCGGGAGUGAUGACGGCCUUCGGGUUGUAAAGCUCUGUUAAUCGGGACGCGGUACCGGAAUAGAAAGCCACGGCUAACUACGUGCCAGCAGCCGCGGUAAUAC